This 32-nucleotide non-coding RNA is filed under the name Mus musculus (house mouse). The record is from RNAcentral. Lineage: Eukaryota; Metazoa; Chordata; Mammalia; Rodentia; Muridae.
UGGUUGCUAAAUUAAUGUCUGAACACAGAUUU